Molecule: long non-coding RNA, 208 nt
Filed under: Homo sapiens (human)
Lineage: Eukaryota; Metazoa; Chordata; Mammalia; Primates; Hominidae
Description: HSALNT0353788
Source: RNAcentral
GUCUUGUGAAAGAGAAAAACAUUGAACUACAACUUUAAGCUCUUCAUUUGAAGAAAGUUACAGUUCAGACACUGGAGAUUUUUGUCACCAAUAUUUCAAGCUGGGCUCAUCCUUGGAGACCUCGACUGGGCUUCGCCUUCUUCAUUCCAGUGAGGUCACGCACCUCCACCCUGCUCCUGCCUCUGCAGCAUGGAACACAUCAAUUUCC